Schizosaccharomyces pombe (fission yeast) is the source of this 431-nucleotide non-coding RNA. Lineage: Eukaryota; Fungi; Ascomycota; Schizosaccharomycetes; Schizosaccharomycetales; Schizosaccharomycetaceae. The record is from the annotation of a GenBank genome assembly.
AUAAAAAAAGAGUGUAGCAUUUUUCGGUACUAUCUAGGUAUUCCUCGAAACUAAACAGUCGAAAAUCUCAUAGCUUGAGCUCUCCGAAAUUACGUUGUAAUGUGCUUUAAUUUCUUUUGUAUAUGUAGGCUAAAAUAAAUAUACAUGAAGUUUCUACUAAGCCAUUCGGAGAACUCUGUUUCGAUACUCCUUCGUUGGACAAACCUUUGAAAAUCACAAGACAUUUCUGAGUCAACAGCGUAUUAAUUGCUCGAUAAAUUUCUUUUUCUGCUUUUAGAAUAAGUGCAUAAUAAUAAAAUACACUGCAAAGGAAUUUUUCAAAUGUUUAGGGUUAUACAUCCCCCUUACCUGAAUCCCUUAAGAAAUAGAUAAAUGGAAGUGCGGCGCCCCUCUGAUAUUAUAACCAUUUAAAAUUAUACAUCUAUAUAAUC